UACGUAGGGUGCGAGCGUUAAUCGGAAUUACUGGGCGUAAAGCGUGCGCAGGCGGUGAUGUAAGACAGGUGUGAAAUCCCCGGGCUUAACCUGGGAACUGCAUUUGUGACUGCAUCGCUGGAGUGCGGCAGAGGGGGAUGGAAUUCCACGUGUAGCAGUGAAAUGCGUAGAUAUGUGGAGGAACACCGAUGGCGAAGGCAGCCCCCUGGGCUAACACUGACGCUCAUGCACGAAAGCGUGGGGAGCAAACAGG
RNAcentral lists this ribosomal RNA (253 nucleotides) under uncultured bacterium. RNAcentral's name for it is "partial 16S ribosomal RNA". It matches the Rfam family "Bacterial small subunit ribosomal RNA", at positions 524 to 776 of the family's 1533-position model. The record is from RNAcentral.